Molecule: ribosomal RNA, 460 nt
Filed under: uncultured bacterium
Lineage: Bacteria
Description: partial 16S ribosomal RNA
Rfam family: Bacterial small subunit ribosomal RNA
Source: RNAcentral
CCUACGGGAGGCAGCAGUGAGGAAUAUUGGUCAAUGGACGGAAGUCUGAACCAGCCAUGCCGCGUGCAGGAAGACGGCUCUAUGAGUUGUAAACUGCUUUUGUACAAGGGUAAACCUGAAUACGUGUAUUCAGCUGAAAGUACUGUACGAAUAAGGAUCGACUAACUCCGUGCCAGCAGCCGCGGUAAUACGGAGGAUCCAAGCGUUAUCCGGAUUUAUUGGGUUUAAAGGGUGCGUAGGCGGAUUGAUAAGUUAGAGGUGAAAUGUCCGAGCUUAACUCGGGAACUGCCUCUAAUACUGUUGAUCUAGAGAGUAGGUGCGGUAGGCGGAAUGUAUGGUGUAGCUGUGAAAUGCUUAGAGAUCAUACAGAACACCGAUUGCGAAGGCAGCUUACCAAUCUAUAUCUGACGUUGAGGCACGAAAGCGUGGGGAGCAAACAGGAUUAGAUACCCUUGUAGUC